GUUCACAUUGCUAUUAUUAAUUAUUGCAAGUUACAAAGUGGAGAACGGGGAAAUUUCAACUUUUUUGAAAGAAAUGAUCCGUCAGACUACAACAACUUAAUACAGAGAAAUCAACUAGGAGAGAGAUGAGAAGAUAUAACAAAAAUGAAUGGAAGAUAAAGAGUGCAUGCAUGAUCAGAGAGCAAGAGUCUGGCGCUCUGGGUCCGAAACACGAGUCUCAUAGAACCUGGCAAUGAAUGCUGAAGCUCUACCGUCGAUCCCUGGAUCUGCAAUCCAACGUCUGCCAUCUUCGUCACUGGGACAUAUUCUUCUAACAUAGAAACCAUCUUCGCUAAUAUCAUCGCUGCCAUGUGAACAACAGGCCUUGAAGAUGUUGAAGAUAGAGAAGCAAGAAGGUUUCCUCCGCCUGCCGUUGCCUCCCAUAUGAUUGCUUGCUUCUUACUGAUUAAUUAAGUAAUGUUGAAUAUUUAGAAGU
This 475-nucleotide unclassified non-coding RNA is filed under the name Hevea brasiliensis (rubber tree). Lineage: Eukaryota; Viridiplantae; Streptophyta; Magnoliopsida; Malpighiales; Euphorbiaceae. The record is from RNAcentral.